CCUACGGGUGACUGCAGUGGGGAAUAUUGCACAAUGGGGGAAACCCUGAUGCAGCGACGCCGCGUGAGUGAAGAAGUAUUUCGGUACGUAAAGCUCUAUCAGCAGGGAAGAAAAUGACGGUACCUGACUAAGAAGCCCCGGCUAAAUACGUGCCAGCAGCCGCGGUAAUACGUCGGGGGCAAGCGUUAUCCGGAUUUACUGGGGGUAAAGGGAGCGUAGACGGCAGCGCAAGUCUGGAGUGAAAUCCCAUGGCUUAACCAUGGAACUGCUUUGGAGACUGGGCAGCUAGAGUGCAGGAGAGGUAAGCGGAAUUCCUAGUGUAGCGGUGAAAUGCGUAGAUAUUAGGAGGAACACCAGUGGCGAAGGCGGCUUACUGGACUGUAACUGACGUUGAGGCUCGAAAGCGUGGGGAGCAAACAGGAUUAGAUACCCUAGUAGUC
Molecule: ribosomal RNA, 440 nt
Filed under: uncultured bacterium
Lineage: Bacteria
Description: partial 16S ribosomal RNA
Rfam family: Bacterial small subunit ribosomal RNA
Source: RNAcentral